This 445-nucleotide ribosomal RNA is filed under the name uncultured bacterium. RNAcentral describes it as "bacterial SSU rRNA". It matches the Rfam family "Bacterial small subunit ribosomal RNA", at positions 29 to 507 of the family's 1533-position model. The record is from RNAcentral.
AACGAACGCUGGCGGCAGGCCUAACACAUGCAAGUCGAACGUGAAGCUGGAGCUUGCUCCAGUGGAAAGUGGCAGACGGGUGAGUAACGCGUGGGAAUUUACCCAGUGGUAUGGGAUAACUUCGGGAAACCGGAGCUAAUACCGUAUACGCCCUUCGGGGGAAAGAUUUAUCGCCAUUGGAUGAGCCCGCGUCGGAUUAGCUAGUUGGUGAGGUAAUGGCUCACCAAGGCGACGAUCCGUAGCUGGUCUGAGAGGAUGAUCAGCCACACUGGGACUGAGACACGGCCCAGACUCCUACGGGAGGCAGCAGUGGGGAAUAUUGGACAAUGGGGGAAACCCUGAUCCAGCCAUGCCGCGUGAGUGAAGAAGGCCCUAGGGUUGUAAAGCUCUUUCAGUCGUGAAGAUAAUGACGGUAACGACAGAAGAAGCCCCGGCUAACUCCGUG